This is a long non-coding RNA of Bombina bombina (fire-bellied toad), 474 nucleotides long. RefSeq lists it as uncharacterized. The transcript has 4 exons. The record is from RefSeq and is a predicted model, not a curated record. NCBI's taxonomy places the organism in Eukaryota, Metazoa, Chordata, Amphibia, Anura, Bombinatoridae.
ACUUCUCAAGGCUAACUCGGCUACAUCUAUGUCCCUAAGUGGCUUUAUCCGAUAACAACGGCACUCUAUGCUUACUUUAUGACUGUGGCUAGCCUUGUGUCUGUGGACUAAACCUCAGAUUGGCUCCUCUAAAUAAAGCAAAAGGCUGCUGUUACUGUAAAGAUCACAUACAAUACACAUUGCUGCAUUUGACAGUAAAGGAGAAACAUAAGAAUAUCUGACAAAUUUGGCUGUGCUGAACAAGACAAUGUCUGACAAGAACGAGAACCAAACCUCAGACCUUCCUGAUGCACACGGAGGGCGUCUAGAGGAAAACCUGGGCACUGGACUAUUAAUUGUGAAGGAAGAGGAUGAGACAGAUGAAAUGCAUUGGUCCCUCCCUGCCGAUGAAGAUAACACUGAAAUAGUAAAAGUUGAGAUAACAGAAGAUCUGUUGGCGAGGCAACAGCUGGGAGCAACGGAUGAGGAAACCAG